This 369-nucleotide ribosomal RNA is filed under the name uncultured bacterium. Its description in RNAcentral is "bacterial SSU rRNA". It matches the Rfam family "Bacterial small subunit ribosomal RNA", at positions 420 to 806 of the family's 1533-position model. The record is from RNAcentral.
GGUAUGUAAAGCUCUAUCAGCAGGGAAGAUAAUGACGGUACCUGACUAAGAAGCACCGGCUAAAUACGUGCCAGCAGCCGCGGUAAUACGUAUGGUGCAAGCGUUAUCCGGAUUUACUGGGUGUAAAGGGAGCGCAGGCGGUGCGGUAAGUCUGAUGUGAAAGCCCGGGGCUCAACCCCGGUACUGCAUUGGAAACUGUCGUACUAGAGUGUCGGAGGGGUAAGCGGAAUUCCUAGUGUAGCGGUGAAAUGCGUAGAUAUUAGGAGGAACACCAGUGGCGAAGGCGGCUUACUGGACGAUAACUGACGCUGAGGCUCGAAAGCGUGGGGAGCAAACAGGAUUAGAUACCCUGGUAGUUCACGCCGUAAA